GGUGACGCAGAGUUAAGCAAUGAGAAGUAAUCACGUUGUCCUUAAUUUGAAUCAAAACUAAGGACAACAUCUGAUGCGGUGUUCCAACAUGUUUCAUUUUGAAGAGUGAAUAGGAUACAUUGCUCUUUUAGGCUUCCACUGCAGAGCAAAUUUUGAAAGGAAGUGUAGCCGCAAUGACCUGCGCCAAGUCACCCGAAUGGUUAAGAUGUUCGCCACAUUGGGAGGCAAUAUUAAGAGGGGAAACGGAAAGGAUCAAUGAGUAUCUGCGUUGCCUCAAUAGAUAAUUGCCUCAUACAUAGAGACAAAAACAAGUUGAAAACAACAGAACCAGAAUCUUAAAAGAAUUCAGCUGUUCCAAGAGAUCACUGCAAGAGACAUCACUCCUGGAGAAAUGCAACUCUUCAUUUAUGUAGCGUUGCUCCUUUCUCAUUUUGAAAGUCAAAGCCCCAUCAAAAUUCCACACAAAUCAGAACUCCUCUCUCCCUCCACCAUAUCUGCAUUCCUGCCUUCAGCUACAAACAUUCAAUUUCUGAACUCACGAGCAUAAGGAUCUGGGAGCAAUAGCAGAUCGCAUAUGAAUUUCAUCUGAUGGAGGGAAUCCACUGCCAGCAGCAAAUGAGGAGUCAGAUAGCAUUGUUCUUUCCAUGAUUCAGUCUUCCACCUUCAUGAAAAAGCGCAGUCUUACCCUCAGCGUCCAGGAUUCAAGCCCCACAAAGAACAUAGAUUCCAGCAAUGAAAACAUCAUCUAAUUAAUGCGAUGCUUUCCUGGUAUAAACUGAUAUUAGAAUGGAAGAAAUGUGUGUGCGGCUCCCUCUGUUGCUGUGUGUGUACUUCUCUUUCUCUCUCACUCUAGGUCUGUUUGUGUGUAUAUUUCAGGGACUGUGAGUGUGGUGUGCAUCUAUUUGUGCUUAUGUAUACGUCUCCCUCCGCCUGUCUGUGUGUUUCCCUGUGUGUCUCGCUCUGUGUGAAUUGUC
Stegostoma tigrinum is the source of this 974-nucleotide long non-coding RNA. RefSeq lists it as uncharacterized. The record is from RefSeq and is a predicted model, not a curated record. The transcript has 5 exons. Lineage: Eukaryota; Metazoa; Chordata; Chondrichthyes; Orectolobiformes; Stegostomatidae.